This is a long non-coding RNA of Pseudopipra pipra, 2045 nucleotides long. RefSeq lists it as uncharacterized. Lineage: Eukaryota; Metazoa; Chordata; Aves; Passeriformes; Pipridae. The transcript is spliced from 4 exons. The record is from RefSeq and is a predicted model, not a curated record.
AAUCUAAUGGCUUCUUGAUCUUUGCAGGUUUGGACAGCAGAUGCUACAACACUUCACAAAUCUCCCUCAGAUUUUCUUUGGAAGGACCUGGUGAGAUUUAGGACAAGCCUUUACUGUGCUGCCAUUGUCUGUGAGCACAGUGGUCAACUCAGUUUGGCCAUACUUGCUGUUACAACAGUGCCAGGAGAUCAGAGGCUGAAAGGAAACUUGAGAUGUGAUUGCUCCUGGCUGUGGCCUGCCUCGGUCUGGAAGAUCUUAAGAAACACAGACUCCACCAUGUCUCCAGGUCAUCUGCUUUAGUGCCUCACUCUCUGUGUGCUUAGAAAAGCUUUCUUAGUGCCUAAAUGGAAUUUUUUCUGCCUCGGUUUUAGUCCUUUCCUUCCUGUCCUAUCCACUGUGGACAUGGGGAACAGGUUGCUUUUUCUUCCUUCAGCAGCCUUUGACACACUUGCAGAAGUCCUGUCCUCUUUUCUCUCCUUCUUUGGCCAAUUUACUUAAUUGGAGCUGCAGAAUUUAAAGGGUCUUAGAUGACGAAUCCACCUUAAAUAUAUUUAAAGACUGGAAAUGGAUUUUGCAGUAAAAACUCUGGAAUUUGUUGGUUGUGAUUAGUAUUUGUCUUUCAAAUGUUAAAUAACUCAGAAAUACAUUGGAGUGCCUCCCCUUUCAGCCCUCCUUUGUUUGCCUACAGCAAACAAUUUUCUUGAUGAAAAAAUGUACAAUAUAAAUAAGCUGUGAUACGUUCUUUGGUUUUUUUCAGGCUAUGGCUUGGUACACUCCUCUCUACUGGAACAGAAGACAAGGAUGGGGGUGAAAGAGGAAAGUGAAACAUUUGAGAAUAUUGUCAUAAAACUUUCUCAAGGACUGAGCAAAAAGAAGGAUGGAAAAAUGAACAGGAAUUUACAAGAACUGAUUCAGAGUGGAAAAGAAACGAAAAAAGACAAAGCUUCAUUAAAAUGAGGAAAAAUAGACUUCUACAUCCCUUUUCCCUAAUCAAAGUGCCUGGUGCCAAAGCUAAGUGUCUUCCACUGAACCCUCACUUUUCCCAUUGAUGGGAAUGAUGGCAGCAGUUUUUGAAGUCAUCAAGGCCUGACCCUGUGCCAGCCAGGAAUUUAUGGAGAACUGCAGACAAUGAACAGAGGGAGCCAAAGCCAUGAGGAUUUUUCCAGUGAGACUUGUGUAGAUGAUGUAAGGCAGAUAGUCUGAGAGCACCAACUAGAGGGAAAGACAGAGGAGAAAAAUGACAUGAUCUCCAUUCAGAGGGUGAUAAAGUUUUGGAGAAGCACGUGCAGUUCAUGGGCAGCCACCUGUGAUUUUGGCCAACCAAUGCUUGCUGAAAUCCAAUUCAACCAAAAGUCUGCAAGGGAGAGUUCGAUCCUUUAAAGUAAAAGUAUCUUAGUGACAACCAGUGACCUUGUGAUUGUAUGUUCAUCCCGAUGUGCCGUUUGUUUAAAAUGUUCUUCCAGAAAGUCAGAAGAAACAGAGUGUUUUUGUUGUACCGUGUUUGAUUCCUAAAUUGACUUUCUUUUCAAGGUAGCUGUGUGGAAAUAAUGACUGUUGUCAUCAACAUGAAGGAACUAGCCAGAAGAAAAAUCCUUCAGCUCCCAGCUGUGUGAGUGGGGAAGGCAGAAGGAGGCCUAUUCAGUCAGGAGGGGUGAGUAGAGUUUUCAAACAGUUUUCAAAACAACUAAGCAAGCAAAGAAAAAAUGGUAGAGCUUAAAACCCCCACAAUUCAGAACACAAGAAUUUCUUUAUUUUGUUGAAAAUCCUUUUAGUCUUCUUUCUGUGAGAAAGACCUGUGCCAGACCACAAAUGGAAAGCAUCUGGAUUCGGGCAUUGCAACUUGAGCACAGCUGGACACAUCUAAUUCUAGAGAACUUCUUGUUUACAUCUUAGGUUUGCUUUAAUUUGGAAUCUAUUUACAGUGUUCCUUCCAGGAAAAAAGAAGGUUUAAAUGCACACUCAGAUGUAUUUUUUAUCUAUUGAAGACUCCAUUGCACGCACUAGCCUACCUAAAGACCCAGAAUCAUGUGAAGCUUUCACAUGUA